RNAcentral lists this ribosomal RNA (655 nucleotides) under uncultured bacterium. Its description in RNAcentral is "SSU rRNA". It matches the Rfam family "Bacterial small subunit ribosomal RNA", at positions 632 to 1286 of the family's 1533-position model. The record is from RNAcentral.
CUGGGUUUUCUUGAGUGUAGAUGAAGUAGGCGGAAUUUGUGGUGUAGCGGUGAAAUGCAUAGAUAUCACGAGGAACUCCGAUUGCGCAGGCAGCUUACUAAGCUACAACUGACGCUCAGGCACGAAGGCGUCGGGGAUCAAACAGGAUUAGAUACCCUGGUAGUCCACGCAGUAAACGAUGAUUACUCGCUGUUUGCGAUAUACAGUAAGCGGCUUAGCGAAAGCGUUAAGUAAUCCACCUCGGGGAGUACGUUCGCAAGAAUGAAACUCAAAGGAAUUGACGGGGGCCCGCACAAGCGGAGGAACAUGUCGGGUUUAAUUCGAUGAUACGCGAGGAACCUUAACCCGGGCUUGAAAUGCAUCUGACAGGGGCGGAGACGCCCUCUCCCUUCGGGGCAGAUGUGUAGGUGCUGCAUGGUUGUCGUCAGCUCGUGCCGUGAGGUGUCGGCUUAAGUGCCAUAACGAGCGCAACCCUCAUCAUUAGUUACCAUCAGGUGAAGCUGGGGACUCUAGUGAGACUGCCAUCGUAAGAUGCGAGGAAGGUGGGGAUGACGUCAAAUCAGCACGGCCCUUACGUCCGGGGCGACACACGUGUUACAAUGGGUGGUACAAAGGGCAGCUACAUGGCGACAUGAUGCUAAUCUCCAAAACCGCU